CGCGAAAGCCUGGGCGUGCUGUCGCGGAGAUGCCUCAGCCGGAGUCCCAGCCUCAGCCGGAACCCAAACCUGAACCGAAACCAGAGCCCAUGCCACAUCCUGAGCCUAAACCUGAACCAAAGCCCAUGCCGGAGCCAAAGCCAAUGCCACAUCCAGAGCCGAAACCUGAGCCCAUGCCUCACCCUGAACCGAAACCUGAGCCAAAGCCCGAACCUAAGCCUGAGCCAAAACCCAUGCCCGAGCCAAAACCUGAACCAAAACCCAUGCCCGAGCCUAAGCCGGAACCUAAGCCUGAGCCAAAACCUGAACCAAAACCUAAGCCCGAGCCAAAACCUGAACCAAAACCUAAGCCUGAGCCAAAACCCAUGCCCGAGCCGAAACCUGAACCAAAACCCAUGCCCGAGCCUAAGCCUGAGCCAACACCCGUGCCCGAGCCAAAGCCGGAACCUAAGCCCGAGCCGAAACCCAUGCCCGAGCCAAAACCCAAGCCCGAGCCCAAGCCGGAACCCAAGCCCGAGCCGGAACCCAAGCCCGAGCCGGAACCCAAGCCCGAGCCAAAGCCGGAACCUAAGCCCGAGCCAAAGCCGGAACCUAAGCCCGAGCCGAAACCCAAGCCUGAGCCAAAGCCCGAACCGAAGCCAAAGCCCGAGCCAAAGCCGAAGCCGGAACCUAAACCCGAGCCCAAGC
Molecule: long non-coding RNA, 687 nt
Filed under: Setaria viridis
Lineage: Eukaryota; Viridiplantae; Streptophyta; Magnoliopsida; Poales; Poaceae
Description: long non-coding RNA (SVIR_LNC002605)
Source: RNAcentral